CCUACGGGAGGCUGCAGUGGGGGAUAUUGCACAAUGGGGGAAACUCUGAUGCAGCGACGCCGCGUGUGGGAAGACGGUCCUCUGGAUUUUAAACCACUGUCUCCAGGGACGAAGAUGUCGGUAUCCUGGGAGGAAGCGCCGGCAAACCACGUGCCAGCAGCCGCGGUAAUACGUAGGGAGCGAGCGUUGUCCGUAAUUACUGGGUGAAAAGGGAGCGUAGGCGGGGAUGCAAGUUGGGUGUCAAAACUACGGGCUCAACUGGUAGUCGCACUCAAAACUGCAGCUCUUGAGUGAAGUAGUGGCAGGCGGAAUUCCUAGUGUAGCGGUAGAAUGCGUAGAUAUUAGGAGGAACACCAGUGGCGAAGGCGGCCUGCUGGGCUUUUACUGACGCUGAGGCUCGAAAGUGUGGGGAGCAAACAGGAUUAGAUACCCUUGUAGUC
This 440-nucleotide ribosomal RNA is filed under the name uncultured bacterium. RNAcentral's name for it is "partial 16S ribosomal RNA". It matches the Rfam family "Bacterial small subunit ribosomal RNA", at positions 338 to 795 of the family's 1533-position model. The record is from RNAcentral.